Molecule: ribosomal RNA, 253 nt
Filed under: uncultured bacterium
Lineage: Bacteria
Description: partial 16S ribosomal RNA
Rfam family: Bacterial small subunit ribosomal RNA
Source: RNAcentral
UACAGAGGGUGCAAGCGUUGUUCGGAAUUAUUGGGCGUAAAGGGCGCGUAGGCGGUGCGGUAAGUCUGUAGUGAAAUCUCUGGGCUCAACUCAGAGUCUGCUGCAGAAACUGCCGUGCUUGAGUGUGGGAGAGGUGAGUGGAAUUCCCGGUGUAGAGGUGAAAUGCGUAGAUAUCGGGAGGAACACCUGUGGCGAAAGCGGCUCACUGGACCACAACUGACGCUGAGGCGCGAAAGCUAGGGGAGCAAACAGG